CAUGCCUCCCUUGCUGGUCGUGGUGUGCUCCUCCAGCUCCCAUAUAAUUCCUCAUUUUGUGCCAUUUUUGGCUUUGGAUCACAAAAAGAAAUUUCCUCUCCCUCUUCCUUUAUGUUAACCAAGGACUAGAAGUAGUGUUGGUGCUCGCUCAACUAGGUUUAGGAGGCAAUUUAUUUUCUUUUUUUUCUGAGGAGGGCUGCUGCUAAAUUUCCUUGGCACCUUCCUGGCACGUUAGCAAAUUAAACAAUUGGUCGAGAGAAGGAAACGAUAUUUGCACAUUCAACUCUAUUUAUGGACCAACUAUGAAAAUAGUGCAGUUAACUUCAGGCAGCCGGUCAGUCCUCGAGCUUGAUUUUUGUGGAAUUUUGGAUGCGUAUGUGUAAAUUCAUUGGUCAAUUCAAUAAGGACCGACUGAAAUUAUACCCAAAAACAAAUUGCACACAGUCAUAUGAAUUUUGAUUUUUAGUGUUAGAUAACCAAACUUUGAAAAAGAACCCAGAAAAUGAUUCGAUCUGUUCUCUUUCCAAUCCAGUUAAUUAGGGGCUGUUUAGUUGGUGAAUUUUUUUUUGGUUGGCUACCGUAGCACUUUCGUUUGUAUUUGAUAAUUAUAUAUUGUUCAAUCAUAGUCUAACUAGCUAGGCUUAAAAGAUUUGCCUCGCAAAUUACAGGCCUAUAAUUUGCGAGGCGAAUCUUUUAAGCCUAGGUGAACUAUGCAAUUAGUUAUUUUUAUCUAUAUUUAAUACCCCAUGUGCUGCAAGAUUCGAUGUGACAAAGAAUCUUAAAAAUUUUGCAUAAAUUUUCAGGAACUAAACAGCCCUUUAAUAUACUGGGGCCGUGUUUAGUUUCUGAAGCGAAAAAUUUCGCGACACUAUAGUACUUUCGUUUGUUUGUGGUAAUUAUUGUCCAAGCAUGAACUAACUAGGCUUAAAAGAUUCGUCUCGUAAAUUCCGACCAAACUGUGCAAUUAAUUUUUAUUUUCGUCUAUAUAUGUGUCUAAAGAUUUGAUGUGACGGGAAAUCUUGAAAAAAUUUUAGAUUUUAGGUAGAAGUAAACAAGGCCUAGCUAGCAGUUUCCUAAAACGUGGGCCCAAAUUAGUCCAACUGGGGAGUCAAAGCUGUGUGUUCCCUGUUGCACUCACAAGCAAGACUGCGCGCAACAUAGUGGCAGG
This 1168-nucleotide long non-coding RNA is filed under the name Sorghum bicolor (sorghum). Its description in RNAcentral is "long non-coding RNA (SBIC_LNC008581)". The record is from RNAcentral. Lineage: Eukaryota; Viridiplantae; Streptophyta; Magnoliopsida; Poales; Poaceae.